Molecule: long non-coding RNA, 5344 nt
Organism: Motacilla alba alba
Lineage: Eukaryota; Metazoa; Chordata; Aves; Passeriformes; Motacillidae
Exons: 3
Source: RefSeq, a predicted model, not a curated record
AUUCAAUCCCUUGCUGAAGUAGCCUCUGGUCAGGAAUACAGGUCUGCAAUGCUGCUGGUGCAGCUUACAACACCAGAGGGAUAACUUUCCUGCAGUACUACAAAACAGCUUCCCUGGAAGAGGUGCCUUUAUGCUGUUCCACAGCACCAAAGAAUGAUGUUCGUGGCCUUUUUGCACACAUUCACCAGUAAAAGAGCGGGAGUAACUUGCCCAAAAGUCCCAUCAGCAAAUCUGCCCAAGCCUGGCUUCAUCUUUAUGUAAGUUUUUAAUUUUCUUUAAAAUUCUCCAGCAUAGCAGGUGUUGCUGCUGGGUAAGUGUUGUGAAAGGGUCCCACAGCAGGGCUUGCUGUUCCUCUCUGUUUAGGUGAAAGUGUUUCCUAUUGUUACUGGCACUGAGGUGUGUGGACUCUUCCAAGGCAGGCUGCUUAGAACAUGAGAAGUGAUGGAAUCAUGCAAGACCCUUGUGGAAUCAUGCAAGAGCCUUGUUGUCACUCCCUAAGUGGACAGAAGGGAUUGUUGGUGGGGGCAAAUCCCUCAGCAUCAGCCUGCCUAACCAACGGCCUGGUUUCUGCUUUAUGCUGGGAAUUGGUGUUUUGGCUGCCCAGAAACUACUUUGGGAAGGACUUGUUCCUUAGAACAGAUGAACCACAUACUGAGAAAAUGAACAGGCCAGAUUGUCUAGUGCUCCGCACCCACCGCUGAAGACAGAUUUUCCGGAGAACUCAGUUUCCAAGGAGGCAUCUAAAUAAGUGACAGAUACUCAGAAGUGGAAAUGUGCCCACUUCUUUUGGUGCUCAACUAGUGCUAGAGCUGCUCUGAAAAAACUUGCUCUGAUAUGGCUGUUCUCUUUCACUUAUGCCACAAGACUUCCACAUCUCCUCUUUUGUACUCUAUUUAUGGCUCUCUGCCAUGCUCACCCUUGUGCCAUACUCCAUCCCACAGGUCUCAGCUGACCCUCUUCUUGUUGCCAUGUCUCUCUGCACCAUUAAAAGGUCAGCAUGUAUAUCAUGUAUAUACAUUCACAUUUCUGUCAAGGGCCAUCAUGGCUAUUGCCCCCAAAUACAGAACAUAAGUGCAACAUAAAUUAAUUGUUAAGGCUAAUGCUGAUUGAAGUUUGGUAAUUCAGCCUGCAGGAUACACCAUAUGUUUGAAGAGUAUUGUCCAAGUUUAAAAUCUAAACUCCCAAGGGCAGGGACCACUCCUUCCUCUAUGUUUACAUAGCAUCAAUGAGAAAAACAGUGCUUGGGUCUGAUAUACAUUAACCUCAGCCAAUGCAUUGUUAAGUUUAAUAAUGACAUUAAAGCACAAUGGAUAAAAUAUAUAGACAAAGACUUUUCUUGGCAGAGAUUUUUGUCAUGUUUUUGAUGCCAGGUUCCUACCCAAGUAAAUAGUCCCUGGUCAUAUGAAUCAUUGGCAUUUUCUUGAAAAAUUCACCCCUUAUAUUGCACCAUCCUGGUUUUCCCUUGUGCAGCAAUUGACACUAAGCCAUGGAUCACUAUUUAGGGUAACUAAGCCAGAGCCCACCUAAAUGAAAAGUCUGGAACAGGAAGGCACCUAAAUGAUGUGCCAGACAGUGAACCUAGGGAAUCACAGAGCCAGGGUGUAAAUGGGCAAAGGAAAAUAAAGGUUUUGACUACAAAAAUUUAAUGUCAUUUCUUAUUAUUUAUCUCAUUACUUUGUAGUUCCCAGAAACCACAUUCAAAGGUUACUGUACACAGGCCCUCCAGCGGGAGCAUAAGAGAGCUCUAGGAAUAAAUCCAAACUCCAUCUGAACUGACAGGCUGUUUUUCAGUGCUAGUUAUGCAACAUGUUAGUACCUCUAGGUAUAGGACCAGUGGGAUUUAAACUUGUACAGCAGAUGGUCCGUGCAUCAUUGCUGGAAUGCGCCUGCUGACCCUAGGGCAGAGCCUGAAUGGACUUCAAAAGAGAGACUGAGCAUGCUUCAAAGUGUUAUUGUUUAAAUGUUCCACUAAAUGGGGACUCCGGAACAAAAUAUCUAGCUGAGGUCAGUCUGAAAAAUGUCAACACGCAUAAUGAGAAAACAGUAUGUUGUGUGAGAAAGAAUAUUUCAUAGGGGUAUUCUGGCUAUUUUGAGUUGAAAAAAACCACCUUUUUUCAUGUGUGUCAGCAGAUCGUCAUAAUCCAAGUGUCUUUCUGCAUGAGCUUCAUUUGCUUUUGUUGGAAAGAACAAGGUCUGUAUGUGAAAGUCAUAAAUACCUUUGGAAAGUGUAUUUUGUCCACAGACAGGUACACUGGGAGAGCUAUCAACCAAAGUUAUGGCAAAGGUGUGUUCCAAUACAGCAUUGACAUAGCCCUGAUAGCCAUCCUCCCACUCAUUUCAGAGGAAAACUUGUAAGGACCUUGUGUUUGGUUUGAGAGUGUGAUCCUGGGAUUUCUGAUCAUUACUGUGCUCUGUUUUGUUCCUCCCAAAGCCCAUAAUGCCUGCUCAUAGCAUGUUCUUUCACCAGGGUAAUCCACAAGUUUUGGCUUCUCUUAAUGCCAUUUAGGAAGGAUUUCAGUAGGAAAGGGAUUGGGUUCAUGUUUAAAUCAGUAGGUUUAAUAUCAUGAAGGAAGAUUUCCUAGGCAAGUCAACCUUAAUGAGAUCAAGACUUCAGUAGAAAAUUCAAGAUUCAUCCUUUGAUUUGCUGGUCCCUGAGCUGCAUCUUGGGCAUUGCAAAUAUCAACGGUCUGGUAGCUUUUGGUCUACAAAAGCUUUCCAUGCUGGCCACUGGCGGUUCAACAUGGGUGGUUAAAACAUUAUUUCCUUUGCUGGAAGCAAGGAGCAGCAAACCUGAACUUUCAUAGCAUCUUGUCCUGCUGGGGCAUGCCUCUAUCUUGAUGGAGACACAUUGCAAUAACACAGAUUAAAAGCUAACCCUCCCUGCAGACGUAAUAAAGAUCCAAUGCCAGGAAGAGCAAACAAGACUCAUGUUAAAUAAAGGGGAGGCUUGUUUCUUUCACAUAUCAAUAUUCAGUAAGAUCAGCCAACUUGGCAUGCUGGGGUGAAAACAAAGCCACCAGCCAAGGUAAAAAAAUGAAGGGCUCUGAAGUGAGGUGUUGUUAAACCAAGAAGGUAACUUGGGCUUGUUUGUAGAUUCUCUGUGUCUAUGUAACAUGUUGUAACUGACACAAAACUUGAAUAGCAAUCAAUGUAAGUGGGUCAAAAAUAGCAUCCACACCCUCCUGGUUGUUGCACCCAGUAUCACUACUCAGCUGUUAGCUGUGGCCCAGAUUAAGCAAAAACCCUGUAACCUUACCUAACUGAGUGUGAAUUCAGCAAAGCUUUCAGGCUUUGGCUUAUCUUCAGUGUAUGCUUAACUUCAGUAAGUAUAGAAACUCUUUGUUAAAUAAGGCUUUUAAACCUGCAGAGAGCUGAUAAAAAAAUCAUAGUUUCACCUGUUUUAUCCUGUUUGCCAAGUGCUACAAAUAGCUGAUACUCGAUGUGUAGAUUGUUGCAGCUAUUCAGUGGCCAAAACUCAGAAGUGUGUCAGUAAGUUAAAGGUGAUCUCUUAUCUCAGUGUUCCCAAAGCAGAGAAGUUACAACACAUUUCUGAUUAACAUAAUUUGUUUUAGGAAUUCUGGCUCCCUGGAAAUAUUGUCACUCCAAAACAAAUGCACUCUGCAAAUUCUCUGAACUUCAGCUUGUUAAACUGCUCAUGAAGAACAAAAAGUACGAGUCAAGACAUAGUGAGUUUGUGACAAAACUUUGCACAACAGGGAAAUAAACUCCAGUAAACCAAAGGAAAAGAUAUUCCCUCUAUUACUUUGUUUGCAUUUUUACUCGAGUAUAAUAGGACUAUAACCAUUUUCUGUCAACAGCUUACAAAGAAACUUGUUCUGAAAGUGAUCCAUAGUGAGAACUUGAAUCUAAAUUGGGUACAUCUAAAUUAGACUGAAUACAGAACACUCCUAAAGGUAGCUUUUGGCUAGAGCUAGCCAAGGAACACAGAAAAGAGUUCACAAAUAUUGAAAGAAAAAACACCCCCAAACCUCAGAGACUCCUCCCUCCAUAUGCUCAUUGUACAGGAGUAUUUUGGGGAUAGAAUGUUUAUUUGGGUUUGCACUUUGCAAAGGCUAGUGGUCCCCAGUUCUUGGCCAGAACGUGCUAUUUGGUAUUCUCCUCUUAGAGUGCAAAAUAUGGCCAGGUGUUUUGCUGAACAAGGAAGGACUUAUAAAUGCACUGGGCAAGGCCUACAACACUGCAGCUCUGGCUUCAGUAGGUGGCAGGGAGUCUUUAAAUUCUCUUGCUCAUUUGCAUUAAGCAAACAAACAAAAUUACCAAACUGUGAAGCCCACAAACUAUGUAUGUAGCCAGGCUACGUAAUCACAAGUUCCCCUUAUGGUUACUUUUAUCUUCCCUUUCACUCACUUGCCUAUAUUGCUGCUGGUCUUUAUUCAGCCCCACAUUCUGCAAACAUUUAUGCACGAUUUACUUCAUGAUUUUAAGCAGUUGCAGAGUGUUCAAUAGGUGUUAAAUAGAGAAUGAGCUAGAACACAAUAGAACUGCAUAUCUGCACAGAUCAGACUAAACCCAGUGAAGUUACAGCUGUGCAGAAAGUUCAGACAUGGGGAAGAGUUUGCAGGGUCUUAGCUUGUAGGAUCUACCAGAGCUGGCAGUUGUGUUUGUGCAGCACCUGGCACAAAGGGACUCCAAAUCUGACCAGGAUCCCUAGAUCCCAAUACUGCAAGUAAUGAACUGUUCCAGGGACUAUAAUUAGGCACCAAAGAACAAGUACUCAGAGUUCACAAAGACUCUAGCACUGGUAUUGCCAAUACAUCUGACAUUCACAUCUGUAGAUUGUUCAUUCAAACACUGCCUGAUUUGGAAUACUAAAACAUUGCUACCACCCAUCAGCUGCUACCCAACCUCUUUAAAAUAAACUUUCUUAAUGGGCAUGUGCCUGGAUCACCAAAGAGACUAUCAAACUUGGCACUGCAGAGGGAAAGCCAAGCCCGGUGCUAGUGAUGGCUCUGCAUUCUUACUCUCAGGCAUGCUGUCAUCAGGUCAAGGUUGUGGCACAGUGACAUGGGGCAUGAGCUCCCUGCCUGCACACUGCCUGUCCAGCAUUUAAAUCAUCAUUAUUCCAGGCAUUUGUUGCACACCAUGGUGCAGGGGUACACAUAAUAUCAACUAAAGGAAGAGUGGAUGACUGUGAGCACUUUGUCAUGGCUUCAGUGGAUAUUAGCAGUGAGAACAGUGUGCCAGGCUGAGGGGCCCAGCCAGCAGCUGGCAAAGCAUGUUUGAUGGAGCUUUGUGAGCACAGACUAUGCAAAUGUAUUCAAAGGAUGUUCUUGAGGCAAAUUGGUUGGAGCUAAAUUUGCCCAGAUGCUCUUGAAUCUGCUUA